Molecule: ribosomal RNA, 253 nt
Filed under: uncultured bacterium
Lineage: Bacteria
Description: partial 16S ribosomal RNA
Rfam family: Bacterial small subunit ribosomal RNA
Source: RNAcentral
UACGUAGGGUGCGAGCGUUGUCCGGAAUUAUUGGGCGUAAAGGGCUCGUAGGCGGUUUGUCGCGUCGGGAGUGAAAACUCAGGGCUUAACCCUGAGCCUGCUUCCGAUACGGGCAGACUAGAGGUAUGCAGGGGAGAACGGAAUUCCUGGUGUAGCGGUGAAAUGCGCAGAUAUCAGGAGGAACACCGGUGGCGAAGGCGGUUCUCUGGGCAGUACCUGACGCUGAGGAGCGAAAGUGUGGGGAGCGAACAGG